CAAAACAUGGCUUCACGAAUUUAAUUUAUGUGAAGUCGUACCUGCCCAGUGAAGUUUUAACGGCCGCGGUACUCUGACCGUGCAAAGGUAGCAUAAUAAUUUGCCUUAUAAUUGAAGGCUGGAAUGAAUGGUUUGUCAAGGAUAAAACUGUCUCUAUAAAAUUUUAUAGAAUUUUAUUUUUAGGUGAAAAAGCCUAAAUUUUAUUAAAAGACAAGAAGACCCUAUCGAGCUUUAAAGAACUUAAUAAAUAUUUAUAACUAGUUUGAAGUUUAAUUAUUAAAAAUUUUGGUUGGGGCAACCUAGGAGUAAAUAAAGCCUCCUUUUUUAAAAAGACUAUUUUGUUAGGAUCCAAAAGUUUUGAUCAAAAGAAAUAGUUACCGUAGGGAUAACAGCAUUAUUUUUUUUAAGAGCUCUUAUCGAAAAAAAAGUUUGUGACCUCGAUGUUGGACCAGAAUAUCCUGAAGAUGUAGAAGUCUUCAAGGGUUGGUCUGUUCGACCAUUAAAAUUCUACGUGAUC
This 517-nucleotide ribosomal RNA is filed under the name Gladiobela acris. RNAcentral's name for it is "partial large subunit ribosomal RNA". It matches the Rfam family "Bacterial large subunit ribosomal RNA", at positions 1809 to 2605 of the family's 2925-position model. The record is from RNAcentral. Lineage: Eukaryota; Metazoa; Mollusca; Gastropoda; Neogastropoda; Raphitomidae.